GGGGAUUUAGCUCAGUGGUAGAGCACUUGCCUAGCAAGCACAAGGCCCUGGGUUCGGCACCCAGCUCA
RNAcentral lists this transfer RNA (68 nucleotides) under Rattus norvegicus (Norway rat). It matches the Rfam family "tRNA". From Rfam's summary of the family: Transfer RNA (tRNA) molecules are approximately 80 nucleotides in length. Their secondary structure includes four short double-helical elements and three loops (D, anti-codon, and T loops). Lineage: Eukaryota; Metazoa; Chordata; Mammalia; Rodentia; Muridae. The record is from Rfam by way of RNAcentral.